UCGCAUCGAUGAAGAACGCAGCGAAAUGCGAUAAGUAAUGUGAAUUGCAGAAUUCAGUGAAUCAUCGAAUCUUUGAACGCACCUUGCGCUCCUUGGUAUUCCGAGGAGCAUGCCUGUUUGAGUGUCAUUAAAUUCUCAACUCCUCCAGCUUUUGUUAAGUUGGCUUUGGAGCUUGGAUUGUGGAGGUUUGCUGGCCCUUCUAUUGACUGGGUUCAGCUCCUCUGAAAUACAUUAGCGGAA
RNAcentral lists this ribosomal RNA (240 nucleotides) under Chlorophyllum molybdites. RNAcentral's name for it is "5.8S ribosomal RNA". The stretch from base 1 to 127 matches the Rfam family "5.8S ribosomal RNA", at positions 28 to 154 of the family's 154-position model. From Rfam's summary of the family: 5.8S ribosomal RNA (5.8S rRNA) is a component of the large subunit of the eukaryotic ribosome. It is transcribed by RNA polymerase I as part of the 45S precursor that also contains 18S and 28S rRNA. The record is from RNAcentral. Lineage: Eukaryota; Fungi; Basidiomycota; Agaricomycetes; Agaricales; Agaricaceae.